UGCACGGCGCCGAGAGCCAGUCAAGGGCGCCGGGAAAAGUGAUCGUUUGACCUGCUGCCAUCGCCAGGUCCGGCUCCCCCAACCCUGCCCCGUGGAGGGGCGCGGCCAGGUGCAGUGGGGAUCCCGCGCAAUGCGCAGUUUGUUAAGAGCCGGGGCGGCCUCGGGUGUUUGAACUCGACCCUUGGCGGGGGCGAGGUCCCCACACCCUUUGUAUGGGGAGUGGGGACGACCCAGGCCGGGGUGCGAGGUGACGCCGACACUCCUGACUAACGCGACAUGCUCCGGCCUGCCCCCGCCCCCAGCCCAAGUCCGCGCGGCGCCGAGGUGGCCCCGGAGCGUCGGGGACCCGUAACGAACUGGUGUCACCUGCUGAGAACCCAGGACACUCCCGACAGCCACGUGCGCAGGUGGCCUGACGCAGACUGGAGAUUCAGCAGCGCUUCGUGAGCAACCCUUCUCCCUGGGACCCCAAGGUGAAAGAAACUGAAGUUUAGGUCUCUCCUGUCCUCUCCUGGAUGUCAGAUUUUCCUGUGGAAAUUGGUAUUGAUGUUUAUUUCCCUUUGAAACCAGGAUUUCUCCCUGUCCCAUGGCCCCAGCAAGAGUGCCAGACCAGCCUACAGGCCGCAGACCCACAGAGGCAACAGCUUCUCAAACUGCCAAGACUUCCAGCCCUUUGUCCUCAACUUGAAAGAGUCUCCUGGGCUCCCUUUGUCUGCCCUUCUCUCUGCUUCGACAGUUGACAGUCGUAGAUUCACUGCCACAAUCAAGUGGUAAACCGUCUCAUCCCGUCAUUCUGAGCAGUUCUCAGUGCCCCUUUGCAGCCAGUCCCUCUCCUCUACCACCAGUCUUGAGCAGCCAUUGAUCCUCUGUCACCGUAGUUUUGCCUUUUCCUGCAGGUGAAUGAAAUAACUGUACAGUCUGGGGUGUGUUUCUUCAGGCUUCUAACCCUUAGCAUAAUGCUUCUGGGAUUCAGCUACCUUGUUUUAUCAGUAGUUUGUUUGUUUUGUUGCUUAGUAUUUCCUUAUAUGGAUGCACUCGUAUUUGUCCAUUUGAUGUUUGUUUCCAUUCAGGCUGCUGUGAAUAUUUGUGCACAAGUCUUUAGGGUAAGCACACAGAAGACGGACUGCCAGGUUUUAUGGUAAAUAUGUGUCAAACCAUUUAGGAAACUGUUUUCCAAAGUAGUCCCAUUUUGUAUUCCCACCAAUAGUAUGUUUUGGUUGUUCUUAUCCUUCCCAAUACCUUCUUUUACUGCACUUUCUUAUACUUUGUGGAUACUGAAUUUUGUACAAAUUGAAGUUUUGUGGCACCCCUGUGUCAAUCAAGUCUAUCUGCAAUUUUUCUAGCACCUCUGAUGAUUGUUAGCAUUUUUCAACAAUAAAGUUUUUUUUUAAUCAAGGUAUUCACAUUACUGACAGAAUGCUAUUACACACUUACAUGACUACAGUACAGUGUAAACAUAACUUUCUUAUGCACUGGAAAAUUUAAAAAUUUGCAUGACUUGCCUUAUUGUCACACUCAUUUUAUUGCAGUGACCUGGAUCCAAGCCUGCAGUAUCUCUGAGGUAUCCUGUACUUGGUAUUGUCAGUCUUUUUUUUUUUUUUUUGGUACCCGGGAUCAAACUCUGGCCCUUGCAAGGCAGGUGGUGGCACCACUGAGCUAAAUGCCUGGCCCUGUCAGUCUUUUUAAAUUUAGCCAUUCUCAUAAGUGUGUGGUGGUACAGUAUCUCAUUGUAGUUUUAAUUUACAUUUGUUGAAUAGUCAUGCUAAUAAUCUUUUCAUGUGCUUAUUGACCAUAUAUGUAUUUUUUAUAACUUGAAAUAUUUUGCCCAUUUUUUAAAAAUUUUAAAUUGCAUUUUAUUAUUUAAAUUGUAUUCUGGCCAGGCAUGGUAGUGCAUGCCUGUAAUCCCAUCACUUGAGAGGCUGAGGCAGGAGGAUCACUACAUGUUCAAAGCCACCCUGGACUACAUAGCAAGAUCCUCUUUAUAAAUAACAAAUAGCAUUCUGGAUACAAGUUUUCACUUUUUAUUUAUUUAUUUAUUUCCAGUACUGGGGAUUGAACUCAGGACCUUGCACUUGCCAGGCAGGUGCAGCUCCACUGAGCUGUAUUCUGGAUACAAGCUCUUUGUCAGAUACAUGUUUUGGAAAUAUUAUUUAAUUCUAGACUUCCUUUUUAUUUUCCUACUUGUAUCUUUUGAAGAAAACAGGUAUUCAGUUUUUCUUUUAUUACUAGCACUAUGCUCUAACCAGCUGAGCUAACUGCCAGCUUUAAACCCUUCUUUUAAUGGUUUGUUUUUUUUUUUUUUGGUACCAGGGAUCAAACUCAGGACCUUGAACCUGAGAGGCAGGCGGCAGAACCACUGAGCUAAAUCCCUGGCCCUGGUUUGUAUUUUUUAUGUCCUGAGAAGUCUGCCUGCUCAAAUGUCACAAAGGUCAUCUAUGUUUUCCUCUGGAAAUUUUAUAGUUUUUCCUUUCACAGUUACUGAUACAUUUUGAGUUCAUUUUUGUGUAUAAUAAAGAUAAGAAUUGGAGUUCUUGGGCUGGGGAUUUAGCUUAGUGGCACCCCACCUGCCUCACAAGCGCAAGGUCCUGAGUUCAAUCCCGUACCAAAGAAAAAAAAAAUUGGGGUUCUAUUUUUUUUCCUAAUAGAUAUCCAAGUAUUCUAAGACCAUUUGUUGAACUGUUAUUACACACAGACACGCACGCACACACACGCUAAAUGCCUUGGCACCUUUUUUGAAACUUUGUUGCCCACGUCUUUCCAAUAUGAAGAUUAGAAUUGACUUACUAAAUUUUAGGGGAAAAAGAGCCUGAUGGGAUUGGGAUUGCAUUGGCUCUUUAGAUUAACUGGGGAAGAACUGACAUCCUAACAAUACAGAUUCUUCCCAACCCACGAGCAUGGUAAAGUAUAUCUCUCCACUUAUUCGCUUUUAAUGUUUUUUAGCUUUCAUUGUGCAUAUCUUGCAAAUAUUUUGUUAAACUUACCCUAGGUAUUUUUUUCUGAUUUUUUAGCACUAUUGAAAAUAUUUUAAAAUUUUAAAUGCAAUUUUUUUUGUUGUUUUCAUUUUUGUUUUUGGUACCAGGGAUUGAACUUGGGACCUUCUGCUUUUGAGGCAGGUGGCGGAACCACUGAGCUAAAUCCCCAGCCCGCAAUUGUUUUUUAUAUUGGACUUUGUACCCUGCAAUUUUGCUAAUUUCUCAGUUCUGAUAGCUUAUUGUGGAUUCUUAGAGGUUUACAUCCACAAUCAUGUAGUCUGCAAUAAAGAUGGCUUCACUUCUUUCUGACCUGUA
This is a non-coding RNA of Heterocephalus glaber (naked mole-rat), 3287 nucleotides long. Lineage: Eukaryota; Metazoa; Chordata; Mammalia; Rodentia; Bathyergidae. The record is from RefSeq and is a predicted model, not a curated record.